Molecule: ribosomal RNA, 165 nt
Filed under: Mimusops perrieri
Lineage: Eukaryota; Viridiplantae; Streptophyta; Magnoliopsida; Ericales; Sapotaceae
Description: 5.8S ribosomal RNA
Rfam family: 5.8S ribosomal RNA
About the family: 5.8S ribosomal RNA (5.8S rRNA) is a component of the large subunit of the eukaryotic ribosome.
Source: RNAcentral
AUAACGACUCUCGGCAACGGAUAUCUCGGCUCUCGCAUCGAUGAAGAACGUAGCGAAAUGCGAUACUUGGUGUGAAUUGCAGAAUCCCGUGAACCAUCGAGUCUUUGAACGCAAGUUGCGCCCGAAGNCAUUAGGCCGAGGGCACGCCUGCCUGGGUGUCUCGCA